This 1454-nucleotide ribosomal RNA is filed under the name uncultured organism. Its description in RNAcentral is "SSU rRNA". It matches the Rfam family "Bacterial small subunit ribosomal RNA". The record is from RNAcentral.
UAGCUACAGGCUUAACACAUGCAAGUCGAGGGGCAGCAUGGUCUUAGCUUGCUAAGGCCGAUGGCGACCGGCGCACGGGUGAGUAACGCGUAUCCAACCUGCCUUACACUCUUGGACAGCCUUCUGAAAGGGAGAUUAAUACAAGAUGUUAUCAUGAGUAAGCAUUUUCGCAUGAUUAAAGGUUUACCGGUGUAAGAUGGGGAUGCGUUCCAUUAGAUAGUAGGCGGGGUAACGGCCCACCUAGUCUUCGAUGGAUAGGGGUUCUGAGAGGAAGGUCCCCCACAUUGGAACUGAGACACGGUCCAAACUCCUACGGGAGGCAGCAGUGAGGAAUAUUGGUCAAUGGACGAGAGUCUGAACCAGCCAAGUAGCGUGAAGGAUGAAGGUUCUAUGGAUUGUAAACUUCUUUUAUACGGGAAUAAACGAAUCCACGUGUGGAUUUUUGCAUGUACCGUAUGAAUAAGGAUCGGCUAACUCCGUGCCAGCAGCCGCGGUAAUACGGAGGAUCCGAGCGUUAUCCGGAUUUAUUGGGUUUAAAGGGAGCGUAGAUGGGUUGUUAAGUCAGUUGUGAAAGUUUGCGGCUCAACCGUAAAAUUGCAAUUGAUACUGGCAGUCUUGAGUACAGUUGAGGUAGGCGGAAUUCGUGGUGUAGCGGUGAAAUGCUUAGAUAUCACGAAGAACUCCGAUUGCGAAGGCAGCUUACUAACCUGUAACUGACAUUGAUGCUCGAAAGUGUGGGUAUCAAACAGGAUUAGAUACCCUGGUAGUCCACACGGUAAACGAUGAAUACUCGCUGUAGGCGAUAUACAGUCUGCGGCCAAGCGAAAGCAUUAAGUAUUCCACCUGGGGAGUACGCCGGCAACGGUGAAACUCAAAGGAAUUGACGGGGGCCCGCACAAGCGGAGGAACAUGUGGUUUAAUUCGAUGAUACGCGAGGAACCUUACCCGGGCUUAAAUUGCAACCGAAUAUGGCGGAAACGCUAUAGCUAGCAAUAGCGGUUGUGAAGGUGCUGCAUGGUUGUCGUCAGCUCGUGCCGUGAGGUGUCGGCUUAAGUGCCAUAACGAGCGCAACCCUUGCCGAUAGUUACUAACAGGUCAUGCUGAGGACUCUGUCGGGACUGCCAUCGUAAGAUGUGAGGAAGGUGGGGAUGACGUCAAAUCAGCACGGCCCUUACGUCCGGGGCUACACACGUGUUACAAUGGGGGGUACAGAGGGCUGCUACCACGCAAGUGGAUGCCAAUCCCAAAAACCUCUCUCAGUUCGGAUUGAAGUCUGCAACCCGACUUCAUGAAGCUGGAUUCGCUAGUAAUCGCGCAUCAGCCACGGCGCGGUGAAUACGUUCCCGGGCCUUGUACACACCGCCCGUCAAGCCAUGGGAGCCGGGGGUACCUGAAGUGCGUAACCGCAAGGAGCGCCCUAGGGUAAAACUGGUGACUGGGGCUAAGUCAUAACA